UGGGGAAUAUUGGACAAUGGGGGGAACCCUGAUCCAGCCAUGCCGCGUGUGUGAAGAAGGCCUUAUGGUUGUAAAGCACUUUAAGCGAGGAGGAGGGUACUGGUAUUAAUACUACCAGGUACUGGACGUUACUCGCAGAAUAAGCACCGGCUAACUCUGUGCCAGCAGCCGCGGUAAUACAGAGGGUGCGAGCGUUAAUCGGAAUUACUGGGCGUAAAGCGCGCGUAGGUGGUUCGUUAAGUUGAAUGUGAAAGCCCCGGGCUCAACCUGGGAACUGCAACCAAAACUGGCGAGCUAGAGGAGGGAAGAGGGUGGUGGAAUUUCCUGUGUAGCGGUGAAAUGCGUAGAUAUAGGAAGGAACACCAGUGGCGAAGGCGACCACCUGGGCUCAUACUGACACUGAGGUGCGAAAGCGUGGGGAGCAAACAGG
RNAcentral lists this ribosomal RNA (430 nucleotides) under Pseudomonadota bacterium. RNAcentral's name for it is "Proteobacteria bacterium partial 16S ribosomal RNA". It matches the Rfam family "Bacterial small subunit ribosomal RNA", at positions 355 to 776 of the family's 1533-position model. Lineage: Bacteria; Pseudomonadati; Pseudomonadota. The record is from RNAcentral.